ACUCAAAGGAAUAGACGGGGACCCGCACAAGCGGUGGAUGAUGUGGAUUAAUUCGAUGCAACGCGAAAAACCUUACCUACCCUUGACAUGGACGGAAUUUCCGAGAGAUCGGGGAGUGCUUGAAAGAGAGCCGUUACACAGGUGCUGCAUGGCUGUCGUCAGCUCGUGUCGUGAGAUGUUGGGUUAAGUCCCGCAACGAGCGCAACCCUUGUCAUUAGUUGCUACGAAAGGGCACUCUAAUGAGACUGCCGGUGACAAACCGGAGGAAGGUGGGGAUGACGUCAAGUCCUCAUGGCCCUUAUGGGUAGGGCUUCACACGUCAUACAAUGGUACAUACAGAGGGCUGCCAACCCGCGAGGGGGAGCUAAUCCCGGAAAGUGUAUCGUAGUCCGGAUUGCAGUCUGCAACUCGACUGCAUGAAGUUGGAAUCGCUAGUAAUCGCGGAUCAGCAUGUCGCGGUGAAUACGUUCCCGGGUCUUGUACACACCGCCCGU
Molecule: ribosomal RNA, 494 nt
Filed under: uncultured bacterium
Lineage: Bacteria
Description: partial 16S ribosomal RNA
Rfam family: Bacterial small subunit ribosomal RNA
Source: RNAcentral